GUCUAUGGCCACACCACCCUGAAUGCGCCCGAUCUCAUCUGAUCUUGGCAGCUAAGCAGGGUCAGGCCUGGUUAGUACUUGGAUGGGAGAACAAACGACAACACUGGUAGUGUCUACU
Fukomys damarensis (Damara mole-rat) is the source of this 118-nucleotide ribosomal RNA. The record is from Ensembl. NCBI's taxonomy places the organism in Eukaryota, Metazoa, Chordata, Mammalia, Rodentia, Bathyergidae.